CGCGUGGCACACACGUUUACUGCGAGGACAACGAAGCGAUGGAACCGUAUCUUUGGAGGACUGAUUACAUCACCACCAAAAUAAGCAAUUAACUUGGAAUAAUGUUGUGCGUGUUUGGACUGUUCGAGAUUAUCGUUCGAGUUGGAGUGAGGCUACAUCAUACAAACAUCAUCAUCAUCGUGAAAGCGAGGAGGGCCGCGUCGCCGCCGUCGCUGACGUGCACGAGGUGUACACCAAGGGGGACGACGAGAAGGCUGAAGACCCGGGGAAGACUUUCGCAACGUUCCCGUUUUGCGCCGUCAGGCGACUCGCGUGCGGAUGGAGGAUCGCGCUGGGAGCUAAACGGACGAUUUCGCGCUGCCAGCCGGACAGGACAGGACGAUGUCAUUGUCAUUGAGUGUCGCGUUUCCUUAUACGUUGAUACGAGAGUGCGAGUGAAUUACGAAGACAGAAGGGGGUGGAAGGGGCGAGAAGAGUGGCAGAAAACCGAGGGACCAAGAGAGGGAGAAAAGAGUGCAUCAAAUGCGUGUGAGAUGGAUGAUACGCCAAAGAAAAGCGAAGCAGUGCUAAUAUAUGGAUGCCCAUGGGUGGAACUUGGCCGAAAUGUGCCAGCGUUACCAUCACGCUAUUCCGGCAGCGGCGGCGGCGCAGAAUUCCUCGCCAGCUAGGGAUCCUGCCAUCGUCCAAGGCCUGUCAACAGCCCCCCAUAUCGAUCAAGCCAGUCCGUCUUACUCUCACUACACGAUGCUGGACAAUUAUGACAGGAGUGAGGUGACACCGCCACCCCCGGUGAGCGGUUACGGCGGCUCGCCCGGACUCUUGGCACUCCAUUCCUCGCUUUACGCGACUCCCACGUCGAGGACCUACGACAUCGACUCCGGCAUCGACGGCAAUGACAGUUCGAUGCCCAUCGAUACCCAAAUCAUCUCGAUCCCGAACAUGCUGAGCGGUCCGGCGCAACAGCGGCUGGAGGACAUGCCGUGGCUGGCUUCCGGUUCGUCGUUGGAAUACCAGCCCGGCAUCUCGCCGAUCCCUGCGGGAGUGAAGAUGUGCCAUCCUGGCGGCACUGCCCAGAGGAGUCUCAAGGAGCAACGGAUACGUCGUCCGAUGAACGCGUUCAUGGUCUGGGCAAAGGUCGAGCGCAAGAAGCUGGCCGACGAGAAUCCGGAUCUCCACAACGCCGAUCUCAGCAAGAUGCUCGGAAAGAAAUGGCGGGGGCUGACGCCGCAAGACAGAAGGCCCUACGUCGAGGAGGCCGAGAGGCUCCGGGUCAUACACAUGCAGGAACAUCCAAAUUACAAGUACAGGCCGCGGCGCAGGAAGCACGCGAAACGGACACCCGGUGGACCGGCCUCGCCUCCCUCGGCGACCAACACCGCGGGCAACAGGUCCAACCCUACCGGCCCGACGAUUCAUCAUUCCAUGUCCAAGAUGGACAGUUACCAGGGCAUACCUCAGAUCCCGUGGGGUGGCCAUUCCCCGAUCUCAUCCUUAUACCAUCAACAGCAGCAGCAGAGUAUCCAGGAAUACAAGUCGGAAAAUAAUUCGCUUUACGGCAGCCCGUACACGCCCAUCAUUCACACCCCGGACAUAUCUCCGGUAGCGAGUCCCGAGCCUGACGGUGACGGCGGCCAUCUAUCGUCUGCUCAGAAUCCGGAUCCGGAACGAGAUCUGAUGGAGGGUACCUCGAAGCAGCACGGAGAUAUGACCGAUCAGACGAAGCGAUACACCUUUAUGAGCGGUGACAGUCAACUGCACACGGGUCACGCUAGUAAUACUAGCGUAUCGUCGUGUCAGAAUUCCGGCGGUUAUACGGAUACUUUAACGUAUAAAAAAUCCGUGGGUUACUUAAACUUUGAGAGACAGUCGACGAGCAUAGCCGCGGUGGGUAUCGCGAACGGUAUGAUGGUGUCAUGCAACAAACUGCGCUCUGGUUUUGACAACGUCGGCUCCGUCACGGGUACGUUUUAUCCGCCGGUCGCCUCGCCGCACGAUCAAUCGUUGCAGCAUUACAGCAGCUCGCAGUCGUCCAAGAGCACGAGCAACUAUUCGAUGCAGUCCACCGUCGAGAGCAAUUAUAAUCCGGUCCAGUGCGCCGGCAAUCGACAGCAGCCCAUAGGAAUUCGCGGAGCCGAAAGUUGUUCCGGCGCAGUGACGCACCGAUACCAAAUGCCUCAUCAUCAGGAAUACCAGACGGACGCAUCCUCGGGCAGUGCUCAGCAGCACGCGAUCCUCGGCGGUCACAUCGAUCCCGGGAUGAGCGCUGAGGAAGAUCAUCAGCAGCAGGCACUGCAGUUGGAAAAGUAUUUCAAGUAUUCCCAUCCAACGAGCGUGGCACAUUCGAGCCUGUCCUCGCAGAGUAUGUUGGACAGCAAUCAUAACUACGCCAGCGAUCUGCGCUACUACGGGGCACCGUCCCAGUUGGACAUAUCGAACUCUCAGUGCAUCGUCGACGAUCAGCAGAGCAGCAAGGACGUUCGUUGCUCCAACGUCGCGAUCGGUCACACCUUGGAGCAAUAUCAUCAACAGAGUUUAGAAGUGUCCAAGUAUCCGGAUCACUCGGCCGCCCAACAACAGCAUCAACAGCCGCAAUCGCAACAGCAGCAGCCUCAGAGCAUGGAGCACGUGCCCAAGGCUGACGAUGACUUCAGUGUUAUACUUGCGGACGUGCGCAAGACCUGCUACAGUAGCUAGUGUUUUCUUUUUUCUUUCAUGUUUCUACGUUUUUUUUUCUUUUUUGAUUGGUUGACCACUGACGUGUGGAUUAUUUCGAAAAUAGUUCUUUCAGAUCAUGAUUGGAAAGAACAAGAAAAACUUGUUACACGGUUUUAUAUCAUCAUACUUUGGUGCUACUCGAAAUAUAUCAAGGCAAUUUUAUCUCGCGAUAGAAGGUACGUCUCUCUUCUCGUUAAUUUCGAAAGUAAUAUUUUAAUUUUGAAUCUUUACAAGAAGAUAUCGAUUUGCAAUUCGAUUUGUUUAAAUUUUAAAUCUAGCAACAUUUAAUUUUGCAGUUUUUAACUUCCAUUUUUAUCUUUGCAUAUUUGUGCAAUCUAUGAUCUCUUAUAGAUUUUAGUUCAAUUGAAAUUACACAGUCAUCAAGUCAUUAACAUGAUUAUCAUCUAUCGAGCUGAGAAGAUCUCAUAUAAAACGUAAUGACAGGCUGCUAAUGGUGCACGGCUGAUCUAAUGUAGCAUAAACAGAGAAGAUUGUACACUUCUGUAGAUGUCACUUCUGUAGUUCUCCACUAUCAAAGGUAAUAUAGUAGCAAAGAUAAUAGCGAUAGAGAGAGAUAUUUUAAAUUUAUAUUAUUAAAUUAGCAAACUUUUACAUAUCAGAAAAUGUUUUGCGUCAACAAGUACAUAUAUUUUUCUCCGAUAUAAUAUAUUAUGUUCAUUAGACUCAUUUGUCUUGAAAUUUUUUAUCAAAAAUCUACUUCUAACGUAAUAACAGAAACUCUUAAUAUAAAACUGAAACAUUCUUGUAUAAAUAGUUUUUUUUUGCUCAUCAGAAUAAUAUUUCUAGUGUGCGAAUUAUGCAUUAAGUAUUUGAUAAAAAUCCAAAUGAUGCAAAACAUCUUUGAUGUGUACAAAGAUGUGUAAAGAUUAGUGGGUUAAACUAAAUUAUUAUUACUAUUAUUAUUUUGCUAUUAAUAAUUAAGAUUAUUAUUAAUGUAUCGUACUUAAUAGAAUCGAUCACGAACAAACAUUUAUUCGCAGAAUCGAUUACGAACAAACAUUUAUUUGCAUAUAUUCUUCAAAGAAUAUCUUUUUACAAAAGAUAUACGUUAUUAUCGAAUCGUUGUAUAUUGUUUACUUUAUUGUAGCGCACAUAUGAUAGGCAUAUAGCAUAUGUAUGAGAUGCAUACAUAUACAUAUAUUAUAUCACAAAGUAUUAUGUGCUCCUCAUAUACAUAUAUAUCACAUUUCUAGUUAAAUUUUUCAUUAAGACAUUUGAUAAACUUUUACAGUGAAUUUUUUGAAAAACUUUGAUAUUUUUUGCGAAAUAAUUAUAUGUUGUACAAGUAAAUAUAUUUUAAUUAAGCAUGUAUUUAAAACAAUCUUUCAGGAUUAUUGUUUCAAAUUUAUGCAGCAUUAAAACACAUCUAUGUAUGUAUAUUAAUUCUUUUUAUUAAAUAUAUAUAAAAAAUAUGUGUAUAAGAUACAACAUUAUAUGUGUAAAGCUGAAAUCAUACAUAGUGUAGUGAUACCCAUAAUUUACAUCAAAGGGGGUUGAUACAGAGUGAUUAAACUCACAUACAGUGAUUGAUAAAUAUUUCAUUAUAUAUGUACAUA
Nylanderia fulva is the source of this 4292-nucleotide non-coding RNA. The record is from RefSeq and is a predicted model, not a curated record. Lineage: Eukaryota; Metazoa; Arthropoda; Insecta; Hymenoptera; Formicidae.